This 253-nucleotide ribosomal RNA is filed under the name uncultured bacterium. Its description in RNAcentral is "partial 16S ribosomal RNA". It matches the Rfam family "Bacterial small subunit ribosomal RNA", at positions 524 to 776 of the family's 1533-position model. The record is from RNAcentral.
UACGUAGGUGGCAAGCGUUGUCCGGAUUUAUUGGGUUUAAAGGGUGCGUAGGCGGCUUUGUAAGUCAGUGGUGAAAUAUGGCAGCUCAACUGUCAGGGUGCCAUUGAUACUGCAGAGCUUGAGUACAGAUGAGGUAGGCGGAAUUGACGGUGUAGCGGUGAAAUGCUUAGAUAUCGUCAAGAACACCAAUAGCGAAGGCAGCUUACUGGGCUGUAACUGACGCUGAGGCACGAAAGUGUGGGGAUCAAACAGG